ACCUGAAGAUACAUUCGAUUACUGCUAAUGUUGAUCUCUGCCUCUGGUAUAUCUUCCAAUAGCAGAAUUACAGUGAUUUGGUACAGGAGUGGAACCCAGCAUGGUCCUCUGCUUCUAAGCCCGUCCACUUCAUGGUUCAAUGAGCUUGCAUUCAGAAAUGCUCUUCCGCACACCACUCUUGUGAUGUGUGGUUAUUUAAAUUACUGUUUCCUGCCUGUCAGCUUGAACCACUGACCUCAUUCAUUAACAAAACAUUUUCACACACAGAAAUGCUGCUCACUAGAUGUCGGUUUUCUUUCUUGUACCCAUUUCCGUAAACCCUAGGGGUUGUUGGCAGGAAAAUACAAGAAAACCAGCAGUUUCUAAGAUACUCAAACUACCACAUCUGAUACCAACAAUCAUUCAAAGGCACUUGGAUCACAAUUCUUCCCCGUUCUGAUGUUUGGUCAGAAAUAAAACUGACCCUCUUAACUAUGCCAGCAUGCCUUUAUGCAUUGAGUUGCUGCCGCAUGAUUGGGUGAUUAGAUAUUUAUAUUAAUGAGCAAGUAUGCAUACAGUUAUACCUAAUAAAGUGGCCACUGAGUGCUAUCAGCACUUCUUAAGGACGAGCUACUUCCAGGCUAAGCCUGAAAGCUGUUGCUUGUCCCUACCUUACUGAAAGCUCCAUACGUUCUGCAAAGGAGAAAGUACAAAUGAGAUGAAUGAUCCAUGAUAGACUUGGUGAACUGUUUGAUCAGAACUUAAAAUUGGAAAUGCGCGGGGAAGACUAAGAAAUUGCUUUUAAUGGACAUUGGCAACACUGUGCAAUCGACGGAGUAAGAUUUCUAUUUUCUCUGCAGAUCACAAUUUCUAGUUAGACCUCAGCCAAGCAUCCUGGAAUAGUCAAGCAUUGCUUUCAGUUUCUGAUCUGGGGAAGGCUAAUGAGUUCUUUCAUCAGUUCAUCAGCCUUUUCCAUUGGCGUGCAACAUCCACUUCUAACCACACUGCUGCUGCGGAAGACAUCUUUCUUACACUGCUGCUAUUCAGCAUGACAAAGGAGCAGAUUUAGCCAUUCAGCCCAUCGAGUCUGCUGCAUACCAACCAAACCGGAGAUAGGUGAAUUUCACAGAAGCCUCGUGUGAUUGUUGAUGAAUUGCAGUUUAAGGGUAGAUUGGAUUUAAGCAGCUGUGAGUCCCAUUGAAGGUUGUCCCAGUGGUGUCCUUUUCUCCCAUUUGCCUUCAUCGAUGUUAAAGAUAUCUACUGAUCCUAAAGGACACUGGUCUUCAUUCAUGCCUCCAAUAAU
Long non-coding RNA from Hypanus sabinus (Atlantic stingray), 1282 nucleotides. RefSeq lists it as uncharacterized. The transcript has 3 exons. The record is from RefSeq and is a predicted model, not a curated record. NCBI's taxonomy places the organism in Eukaryota, Metazoa, Chordata, Chondrichthyes, Myliobatiformes, Dasyatidae.